UACGGAGGCCCCAAGCGUUGUUCGGAUUUAUUGGGCGUAAAGGGUGCGUAGGCGGCAUUGUAAGUCUGGUGUGAAAGGCGUGGGCUCAACCUGCGGACUGCAUUGGAUACUGCGAUGCUAGAGGACUGGAGAGGAGAAUGGAAUUCACGGUGGAGCAGUGAAAUGCGUAGAUAUCGUGAGGAAGGCCAGUGGCGAAGGCGAUUCUCUGGACAGUAUCUGACGCUGAGGCACGAAGGCUGGGGGAGCGAACAGG
RNAcentral lists this ribosomal RNA (253 nucleotides) under uncultured bacterium. Its description in RNAcentral is "partial 16S ribosomal RNA". It matches the Rfam family "Bacterial small subunit ribosomal RNA", at positions 524 to 776 of the family's 1533-position model. The record is from RNAcentral.